RNAcentral lists this small RNA (119 nucleotides) under Marmota monax (woodchuck). Lineage: Eukaryota; Metazoa; Chordata; Mammalia; Rodentia; Sciuridae. The record is from RNAcentral.
GCUGGGCUUGGGGGUGUACCCUUGUAAUCUCAGCUACUUAGGAGUCUAAGGCAGGAGUAUUGCUUGAGCCCAGGAAUUGAAGGCCAAUCUGGGCAACCUAUAGCUAGACCCUGUCUCAA